CUCGCUCAUCCCAGAACAAUUAUAUAGUUUCUCCUCUAAUGUUACAGAGUGAGGAACGGGCUGAUCCCAGAACAGUUUUAUAGUUUCUCCUCUAAUAUUACAUAUUACGGUGUGACGAACGAACUGAUCCCAGAACAAUAUUAUAGAUUCUCCUCUAAUGUUACAGACUACAGAGCGAGGAACGGGCUGAUCCCAGAACAGUUUUAUAGUUUCUCCUCUAAUGUUACAGACUACAGAGUGAGGAACGAGCUGAUCCCAGAACAGUUUUAUAGUUUCUCCUCUAAUAUUACAGAUUACGGAGUGAGGAACAGGCUGAUCCCAGAACAGUUUAAUAAUUUCUCCUCUAAUGUUACGGAGUGAGGAACGAUCUGAUCCCAGAACAGUUUUUAUAGUUUCUCCUCUAAUGUUACAGACUACAGAGUGAGGAACGAGCUGAUCCCAGAACAGUUUUAUAGUUUCUCCUCUAAUAUUACAGAUUACAGAGUGAGGAACAGGCUGAUCCCAGAACAGUUUAAUAAUUUCUCCUCUAAUAUUACAGAGUGAGGAACGGGCUGAUCCCAGAACAGUUUUAUAGUUUCUCCUCUAAUGUUACAGACUACAGAGUUAGGAACGAGCUGAUCCCAGAACAGUUUUAUAGUUUCUCCUCUAAUGUUACAGAUUACAGAGUGAGGAACGGGCUGAUCCCAG
Ictalurus punctatus (channel catfish) is the source of this 687-nucleotide long non-coding RNA. Lineage: Eukaryota; Metazoa; Chordata; Actinopteri; Siluriformes; Ictaluridae. The record is from Ensembl.